AUCAAUGACUAUAACAUCAAGUUUAACAUCCUUUGCAUAUUUCAACGCAUCAUGUGCCAUAGCACCACAAUCAACUGUAAUUAAUAAUUCAGUGCCGUUACCUUUAAUUUUUUGCAUAGCCAAAGGAGUUGGACCAUAUCCUUCAUAUAUACGAUCAGGCACAU
RNAcentral lists this small RNA (164 nucleotides) under Rickettsia prowazekii. RNAcentral's name for it is "partial sR18 non-coding RNA". Lineage: Bacteria; Pseudomonadati; Pseudomonadota; Alphaproteobacteria; Rickettsiales; Rickettsiaceae. The record is from RNAcentral.